UUGAAUUGCAGAGCCACAACCC
RNAcentral lists this non-coding RNA (22 nucleotides) under Rattus norvegicus (Norway rat). The record is from RNAcentral. Lineage: Eukaryota; Metazoa; Chordata; Mammalia; Rodentia; Muridae.